Long non-coding RNA from Acinonyx jubatus (cheetah), 540 nucleotides. RefSeq lists it as uncharacterized. Lineage: Eukaryota; Metazoa; Chordata; Mammalia; Carnivora; Felidae. The transcript has 2 exons. The record is from RefSeq and is a predicted model, not a curated record.
UGGGAUUGAAUGGAUGGGAGGACCCCGCCCUGUGGGGAAUGCAGAGAAACUUCACUAAACCUGGUGGCAGGGAAAUCAAGUAUUCCCUCCCUCCGCUGCUGCCUACACCAGCAAAUCAACACCCAUCUCACACAUACACAUGCACCCACACAUGCUUUGGCCCCUGGUUUUUAAGCCCCAUCUCUGAGAUUAAUUAAAUUGUCUGUGUCAUUCAUCUAUCUCAUCUUCUUUCCGGAAAACCCCUCCGCAUUAAACUAAUGCUUAAUCCGAAUUAGAGCCCAUCCAAGGCAUCUAAGCGCCGCUCAUUACUUGCUAAAGCAGGAUCUCUCUUGCCCUUUCAAACAAGCAAAGGAUUUCAAUGAGACCUCCCAGGACAGGGAGGGGAACGGGGUCUCGGCUUAAAUCUCACCUAGAGAUGCCUUCUCGAACCUCCCAGUUCAAGUAGCUCCACUUCUCGUCUCCACCAAGUUACCCGGUUUUAUUUUCCUCGUGACUCUCAGAACAUUUUCCUGUUUAUAUAUGUGUUUGUUGAUUAUCUGA